RNAcentral lists this unclassified non-coding RNA (404 nucleotides) under Ptychodera flava. RNAcentral's name for it is "partial miscellaneous RNA". The record is from RNAcentral. Lineage: Eukaryota; Metazoa; Hemichordata; Enteropneusta; Ptychoderidae.
UUUUUUAAGUUGCGCUGUGGCGUAAGUUAGUAGGACUCCGCCGUUUGCGAGAAAUCCUUGGGUUGUUUCCGAAAACUUACGUCCGCUAGGCCACCGGGCCGUUGGCUGCUCUGGUGGUCUCUACGGCUGUCUCCGUGGGCGGCCGGCAGACGGCGCGGGUGGGUCAGCUCACCUUCCCGCGCACCGGCCCAGUGGGUUGCCGCAAGGCCCACGUCUCGAGGCCGAGACCAAGGCGCUUUCCCCGGCGCUUGGGAAAUGACGGGUCGGGCAGCGCUGCUCGCUGCGACACUUGGGACGACGGUGCUCGGACCCCCGGCGGUCGAAAGUGAUGACGGUGCGUGAGGUGCCACUGGCGGCUGGGCAUGCCUAGCUCUCCGCCCCCCAAAGCACAGCCAUGUGCCCUU